This 467-nucleotide ribosomal RNA is filed under the name uncultured bacterium. RNAcentral's name for it is "partial 16S ribosomal RNA". It matches the Rfam family "Bacterial small subunit ribosomal RNA", at positions 28 to 506 of the family's 1533-position model. The record is from RNAcentral.
GACGAACGCUGGCGGCGUGCUUAACACAAGCAAGUCGAACGGAAAGGCCCUGCUUUUGUGGGGUGCUCGAGUGGCGAACGGGUGAGUAACACGUGAGUAACCUGCCCUUGACUUUGGGAUAACUUCAGGAAACUGGGGCUAAUACCGGAUAGGAGCUCCUGCUGCAUGGUGGGGGUUGGAAAGUUUUGGCGGUUGGGGAUGGACUCGCGGCUUAUCAGCUUGUUGGUGGGGUAGUGGCUUACCAAGGCUUUGACGGGUAGCCGGCCUGAGAGGGUGACCGGCCACAUUGGGACUGAGAUACGGCCCAGACUCCUACGGGAGGCAGCAGUGGGGAAUAUUGCACAAUGGGCGGAAGCCUGAUGCAGCAACGCCGCGUGCGGGAUGACGGCCUUCGGGUUGUAAACCGCUUUCGCCUGUGACGAAGCGUGAGUGACGGUAAUGGGUAAAGAAGCACCGGCUAACUACGU